UGGCGUGCGCACGUUCCGCGACACUUUCAACGUCAUUUCCGCCUGGAGACGUGGGCGGGACUCCUAUAAAAGGCUCUGCUCCAGGCCGCACCCAGUAUUUCAAUAGCGGCAAUCGGGUUGGACUCACCGUUGAUACGGGAGCGCAUUCGUAUUUUGCAGGGUUCGAAAGAGAGGUUACCUGAAAGAGGAGCGACACAGAGCGAGUCGGCGGCAGCAAGAUGCCAACCAUCAGUGACGAGGACAGAAAGGCUGCCACGUUCGGGACGGCCAUAUCGGCCGGAGUAUUGCUCCCAGCAGCUGCGGCUGCUGGUCCCUUUGCACCGCUGGUGGCAACAAUUGGACUAGCAAUGGCUGGUAUCGGAUGCCUUGCAGGAUUCAUUACUGUUCAGGCCCUACCAAGCGAUGAAAAAAAAAAGUAACAGGCACAUCAAAGAAUUGAAACCGUAAGGCGCCUGAAGGCAAAUGACCGAUGUCUCGCUUCUAAGGGGCCACCUGCAUAAGAAAUGGAAGAGCAAGCCAACGUAGUGUAGAAAGGCCUAUUUGUGAUUUCUGGAAUUAUCUAAACGCUUUGAUGACAUUUUUUGUUAAUAAUAAAAAUGAGGCGUGUCGUACCACA
Molecule: long non-coding RNA, 616 nt
Organism: Dermacentor albipictus
Lineage: Eukaryota; Metazoa; Arthropoda; Arachnida; Ixodida; Ixodidae
Source: RefSeq, a predicted model, not a curated record